UACGUAGGCCGCAAGCGUUGUUCGGAGUUACUGGGCGUAAAGGGUGCGUAGGUGGCUCUAUAAGUAUGGUGUGAAAUCUCCCGGCUUAACUGGGAGGGUGCGCCGUAGACUGUGGGGCUAGAGUGUGGGAGAGGAAAGUGGAAUUCCUGGUGUAGCGGUGAAAUGCGUAGAUAUCAGGAGGAACACCGGUGGUGUAAACGGCUUUCUGGACCAUAACUGACACUGAGGCACGAAAGCGUGGGUAGCAAACAGG
RNAcentral lists this ribosomal RNA (253 nucleotides) under uncultured bacterium. Its description in RNAcentral is "partial 16S ribosomal RNA". It matches the Rfam family "Bacterial small subunit ribosomal RNA", at positions 524 to 776 of the family's 1533-position model. The record is from RNAcentral.